GACGAACGCUGGCGGCGUGCUUAACACAUGCAAGUCGAGCGAUGAAACUUUAACAGUACUCUUCGGGGCGAAGAUAAAGUGGAUUAGCGGCCGACGGGUGAGUCACCCGUGAGUAAUCUGCCUUCGACAUUGGGAUAGCCUCGGGAACCCGGGAUUUAUUCCACAUCAAAUCAUAAUGACACAUGUCAUAACGAUUAUAACUUCGGUUGUCUAACAUGCACGCUCGUCUCUUUAGCUAGUUAGGAGGGUAAAAGCCUACCAAGGCGACGAUGGGUAGCCGGCCAGAGAGGGUGAGCGGCAACACUGGAACUAGGCAGCGGUCCAAACUCCUACGGGAUGCAGCAAGGGGGAAUAGUGCAAAAUGGAGUGAACUCUGAUGGAGCGACGCCGCGAGAACUAUGAAAGCUUUCGAGUCGUAAAGUUCUUGUAAAUAGGAAGAUAAUGACGGUACCAAAAGAAAAAGCCCCGGCUAACUACGUG
Molecule: ribosomal RNA, 480 nt
Filed under: uncultured bacterium
Lineage: Bacteria
Description: partial 16S ribosomal RNA
Rfam family: Bacterial small subunit ribosomal RNA
Source: RNAcentral